AACGCACGAGACCUGCGGACCUGCGGAGGGAUCAUUAAUGAGAAGCUGCCCCUCGUGGGUAGACCUCCCACCCUCUGUGAACUUACUUUUGUUGCUUUGGCAGGCCCGUCCUCUGGACCGCCGGCUUCGGCUGGCCCGUGCCUGCCAGAGGAUUCCAAACCCUGUCUGUCAGUGUUGUCUGAGUCUAUAUGAAAUCGUUAAAACUUUCAGCAACGGAUCUCUAGAUCGGAAGAGCACACG
RNAcentral lists this unclassified non-coding RNA (240 nucleotides) under soil metagenome. RNAcentral describes it as "partial contains 5.8S ribosomal RNA, internal transcribed spacer 2, and large subunit ribosomal RNA". The record is from RNAcentral.